CUAUUUUACAGAAAUAGUAUAGUAUGGACAGCAGUAGCGCACACUUCCUCACAUAACCCUGGCAGUGUGCCUCAGUCCUGACCUGGGAGCGAGCACUUCUAAGGUGAAAG
Molecule: unclassified non-coding RNA, 110 nt
Organism: Gopherus agassizii (Agassiz's desert tortoise)
Lineage: Eukaryota; Metazoa; Chordata; Testudines; Testudinidae
Source: Ensembl